AAAGGAAUUGACGGGGGCCCGCACAAGCGGAGGAGCAUGUGGCUUAAUUCGAUGCUACGCGAAGAACCUUACCAGGGUUUGACAUGCAACUGCUAACCCAGUGAAAAUUGGGCUCCUUCGAGGGUGUUGCACAGGUGCUGCAUGGCUGUCGUCAGUUCGUGCCGUGAGGUGUUGGGUUAAGUCCUGCAACGAACGCAACCCUUGUGUUUAGUUGCCACCGUGGGUGAUGAGCCCACGAGCACUCUAAACAGACUGCCCGUGUUAAGCGGAAGGAAGGUGGGGAUGACGUCAAGUCCGUAUGGCCUUUAUACCCUGGGCUGCACACGUGCUACAAUGGCCGGUACAGAGGGAAGCUAAGCCGCGAGGUGGAGCCAAUCCCAUAAAACCGGUCCCAGUUCGGAUUGGAGUCUGCAAUUCGACUCCAUGAAGUUGGAUUCGCUAGUAAUGGCGCAUCAGCUACGGCGCCGUGAAUACGUUCCCGGGCCUUGUACACACCGCCCGU
RNAcentral lists this ribosomal RNA (502 nucleotides) under uncultured bacterium. RNAcentral describes it as "bacterial SSU rRNA". It matches the Rfam family "Bacterial small subunit ribosomal RNA", at positions 903 to 1397 of the family's 1533-position model. The record is from RNAcentral.